Molecule: long non-coding RNA, 510 nt
Filed under: Ananas comosus (pineapple)
Lineage: Eukaryota; Viridiplantae; Streptophyta; Magnoliopsida; Poales; Bromeliaceae
Description: long non-coding RNA (ACOM_LNC010318)
Source: RNAcentral
UUCAACCAUGUAUUUUACUUUUAUCCGUGAAAACAGAAAGUGUAGAUUUUUUUUUUUUAUUAUUUAACUUUAUAAGAUCAUCUAUAAGACAAGCUAAUGGCAAUAGCAUAGCUAUUCCAUCAGUAGCUUUAUUUAAUAGGAAUGGUCAAUUAAAUAAUUUGAUAAAUUUGUGCAUUGACACCUUUAGGUACCGUUUGGUUCAGGUAUAAGCAAGAACUAGCUAUUACAGGGAUAGGUACAAGUAUGGGGAUAAGAAAAAUAAUGUUUGGAUGAAAAUUGGGUUGUUCCCGAGAAUAAAAACAAUUUUAAGUAGUUUUAUAUAGAAAAUGGAGGUGUUGGUGAGGAUAACCGAGAACUACUAUUAUCGGAUAAAAAAUUAGCGUUUGGAUAUAAAGUGGGGGAUAAAGGCCUAUUCCUAUUCCUAUUCCCUAACCAAACGCUGCCUUAGUUUUUGAAAAAAAAAAUUUAUUUAAAAUAUUCUUUAUAUAUUUCAUAUUUUGAUUAGUAAAC